This 254-nucleotide ribosomal RNA is filed under the name uncultured bacterium. RNAcentral describes it as "partial 16S ribosomal RNA". It matches the Rfam family "Bacterial small subunit ribosomal RNA", at positions 524 to 776 of the family's 1533-position model. The record is from RNAcentral.
CACGUAGGGGGCAAGCGUUGUCCGGAUUUAUUGGGCGUAAAGAGCUCGUAGGCGGCUCAGUAAGUCGGGUGUGAAACCUCCAGGCUCAACCUGGAGACGCCACCUGAUACUGCUGUGGCUAGAGUCCGGUAGGGGAGCGUGGAAUUCCUGGUGUAGCGGUGAAAUGCGCAGAUAUCAGGAGGAACACCGGCGGCGAAGGCGGCGCUCUGGGCCGGAACUGACGCUGAGGAGCGAAAGCGUGGGUAGCAAACAGG